CCUACGGGAGGCUGCAGUGGGGAAUUUUGGACAAUGGGCGCAAGCCUGAUCCAGCAAUGCCGCGUGCAGGAUGAGGGCCUUCGGGUUGUAAACUGCUUUUGUACGGAACGAAACGGUGAGCUUUAAUACAGUUUGCUAAUGACGGUACCGUAAGAAUAAGCACCGGCUAACUACGUGCCAGCAGCCGCGGUAAUACGUAGGGUGCGAGCGUUAGUCGGAAUUACUCGGCGUAAAGCGUAAGAAGGAUGUGAAAUCCCCGGGCUCAACCUGGGACCUGCAUUUGUGACUGUAUAGCUAGAGUACGGUAGAGGGGGAUGGAAUUCCGCGUGUAGCAGUGAAAUGCGUAGAUAUGCGGAGGAACACCGAUGGCGAAGGCAAUCCCCUGGACCUGUACUGACGCUCAUGCACGAAAGCGUGGGGAGCAAACAGGAUUAGAUACCCCGGUAGUC
Molecule: ribosomal RNA, 449 nt
Filed under: uncultured bacterium
Lineage: Bacteria
Description: partial 16S ribosomal RNA
Rfam family: Bacterial small subunit ribosomal RNA
Source: RNAcentral